ACUUUCCCUUGAUGCAGGAUCUUUUGAGCGUUUGGAAUCUGGAAAACAAAACGAGAAAGUUAAUAUUGUAAUAUUAAACGCGAUGAUACAGGUGAAAGAUGACUAUGUUUUCUUUCCACCAAGGCAUAUUCCAGGAGGUGAGAAGUUGCAGAUAUAGGAUUUUGAUACGGAAGGGGAGAAAGCUCUGGAUCAAAAGAUGCAUUUAGGGAGUGGUUUUCCCAUAUUGGGGAUUGCGUUCCUAAUGUGAAAAGGUGCCCAUUUUAGCUUUACCAGCAACCGUUCGUCCUAAGCAUCGAAGGAAAAUCAUGACAGAAUUGUAUUUUAGUAAAAUCGCAUGUAUCAUUACUGAUAGUCCGGAUAGAAAAAAAAAUUAACAUCAGUGUGUUGAAAAUUAUAAAUGAUUAUUUCAAAAAUAUUUUUUCAUCAAUUAUCGCUAGAUUAUCUGAAGGAACAAUGUCUUUUCCAAGAUAUUUCUUAUUUGCCAAGACCGUUAAUAUUUUGUAACUCAAUAAAAGACUGUGCUUCAUUA
Long non-coding RNA from Ostrea edulis (European flat oyster), 529 nucleotides. RefSeq lists it as uncharacterized. NCBI's taxonomy places the organism in Eukaryota, Metazoa, Mollusca, Bivalvia, Ostreida, Ostreidae. The record is from RefSeq and is a predicted model, not a curated record. The transcript has 2 exons.